Molecule: microRNA precursor, 214 nt
Filed under: Oryza rufipogon (brownbeard rice)
Lineage: Eukaryota; Viridiplantae; Streptophyta; Magnoliopsida; Poales; Poaceae
Description: MIR812 microRNA precursor family
Rfam family: MIR812 microRNA precursor family
Source: Rfam by way of RNAcentral
AAUAAGUAUAGUUUUACACUAUUUACGUUCAAUGUUUGACCGUUUAUUUUAUUUAAAAAAUUUUAUGAUUAGUAUUUAUUAUUAUUAUUAUUAUUAUAUGAUAAAACAUGAAUAAUACUUCAUGUGUGAUUAAAUAUUUUCAAUUUUUUCAUAAUUUUUUUAAAUAAGACGGUCAGUCAAAUAUUGGGUACGGAUAUCCACGGCUACAUUUAUU